This 253-nucleotide ribosomal RNA is filed under the name uncultured bacterium. Its description in RNAcentral is "partial 16S ribosomal RNA". It matches the Rfam family "Bacterial small subunit ribosomal RNA", at positions 524 to 776 of the family's 1533-position model. The record is from RNAcentral.
UACAGAGGUGGCAAGCGUUGUUCGGAAUUACUGGGCGUAAAGGGCGCGUAGGCGGCCUUGUAAGUCCUGUGUGAAAUCCCCCGGCUCAACUGGGGAACUGCACAGGAGACUGCUUGGCUUGAGUUCGGGAGAGGGAAGCGGAAUUCCGGGUGUAGCGGUGAAAUUCGUAGAGAUCGGGAGGAACACCAGUGGCGAAGGCGACUAUCUGGCUGACAACUGACGCUGAGACUCGAAAGCAUGGGGAGCAAACAGG